AUGAAGAGGCGACGCAGGCGUGCUCCUGCUCCGUCGGAAUCGGAUAUCCAGCGCAUUUUAGACGAAUGUUUCAUCCUCCUGUUCGAGACACCCUCUGGCUUUGCACUUUUUCAUUCUGCUUUGUCACUCAUUAACCGACCAGAUUCUAUGGAGGACAUAUGGUCUUAUUUCAUCUAUGAUUGCAUGGCAAAACUUGCUAUUACGCUGAAAGAGUUUCAAACUUUUGAGGACAAGUCCAGUGCCAUUAAUCAAAACAGUGGUGUCAACGAAAGGCUUACUCAGAUGAUCAGGACGUGGAUCGGCGGGAAGAAACUGGCAGUUGGAAAGCCUGAAUAUAAGGAAAUUAUUGAAGAGAGAUUGAAAAUAGACUGCCUGUAUAAUCCAGCAGUGAUGGAGGUGAUGUGGGGUAUACAGAAUUGCAUGCCAAGUUUGGUGCCUGGAGAAAAAUCACAGCUGGCUGAAGAGGACCGCGUCCCGAUGAGUAAGGGAUUGCGAAAAGUCUUGAAGCGUUAUGACUGUAAUGUCAAAACAAAGAUUGUCAGCAAGCAAAUUAUUGAGAUGGCUGCCGCCUUGUUUAAGUGUGAUUCGGCUGUGAAGGAUAAUUCUAGAGCCAUGCGGAGGGCAGGUGAUACCAUUAUUGCUAUUUCUGGCAUCAGCUGUGUGAGGGUUGGAGCUUACUGGAAAUUGCAACAGCUCUGA
Molecule: ribosomal RNA, 699 nt
Filed under: Triticum aestivum (bread wheat)
Lineage: Eukaryota; Viridiplantae; Streptophyta; Magnoliopsida; Poales; Poaceae
Description: partial small subunit ribosomal RNA
Source: RNAcentral